AUUGAACGCUGGCGGCAUGCUUUACACAUGCAAGUCGAGCGGCAGCGCGGGGGCAACCCUGGCGGCGAGCGGCGAACGGGUGAGUAAUAGAUAGGAACGUGUCCGGGAGUGGGGAUAACUAGCCGAAAGGUUAGCUAAUACCGCAUAUUCUCUACGGAGGAAAGCAGGGGAACCGCAAGGUCCUUGCGCUCGCGGAGUGGCCUAUCUCCGAUUAGCUAGUUGGUGAGGAAAGGCUUACCAAGGCGACGAUCGGUAGCUGGUCUGAGAGGAUGAUCAGCCACACUGGGACUGAGACACGGCCCAGACUCCUACGGGAGGCAGCAGUGGGGAAUUUUGGACAAUGGGGGCAACCCUGAUCCAGCCAUGCCGCGUGC
Molecule: ribosomal RNA, 374 nt
Filed under: uncultured bacterium
Lineage: Bacteria
Description: bacterial SSU rRNA
Rfam family: Bacterial small subunit ribosomal RNA
Source: RNAcentral